RNAcentral lists this long non-coding RNA (585 nucleotides) under Chrysolophus pictus (golden pheasant). Its description in RNAcentral is "lncRNA (ENSCPIG00010013439.1)". The record is from RNAcentral. Lineage: Eukaryota; Metazoa; Chordata; Aves; Galliformes; Phasianidae.
AUAGAUAUCUUUCUUUUAUUUCAGGAUCAUUGCUGCCUGAGAGCAUUACAUAAAGGAGUAAAUGUGUUAUCAUCUGUUACCUUCUCGGACAUCUUGGAACUUUUUCUAUGUUUCACUUUCACAUACUUGCACUGGAUGUUUUCUUCCAUCCCAACAUGAAAAAAAGAGAAAGGAAGAAAUAUCUACCCACAAAAUAAGUGCAAAGGUAGACAAAGGUUUAUAUUCACCACUCUAAUAUGGCUACAAAUAUCUGUGUCUUUUCUAUGACUCCAAACAGCUCUAAAUUUAAGCUUUUUGUAACUAUAAGCUCUCCCUCUGGGAUGUGUUCCUUAUGUGGAACAUGGAGAGGCCGAAGAGACGAUUCAAGCCAUCACAAAGCCUCCCCUUGGCUGCAAGCUGCCCCACCAGCACUACAGGGCUGGCAGUGCCACCUGCCCACAAGCUACAGAGAUGCCAAUGCUGUAACACUGAAGGAAAUGGAAAAAAAAAACAUGAUGUGCCUCAUACAGCAGAAAAAGCAGUAAAAUCACUAAAACAAAACCAUUAGGAUGAAGAACACAAAGUCUCCAUGAAUCUACAAACCCC